This 524-nucleotide long non-coding RNA is filed under the name Homo sapiens (human). Its description in RNAcentral is "EOLA1 divergent transcript". The record is from RNAcentral. Lineage: Eukaryota; Metazoa; Chordata; Mammalia; Primates; Hominidae.
GAUGCGCGCCAGCCAACCAGGCCAAGGCCAGGGGACCUCGAGACCGGCAGCCUCGACGAAGAACCGGAAGGAGGAAAAGGAACGGGAGGGAGGAAGAUGAGAUGCGCCUACUUCUCCCUGGAGAAGCUCGAGGAAGCAGGAAUGCUGGAGAUGAGGGCUGUUUUGAAGUCAGUAUUCACUUAAGCACUCCAAAUUGGUCAUGUGAACGUGUGGUGUAGCAGGAGGAGAGAGACCCAGCACACCCUGCCUGCAUGGCGCUGCGCUGCACCUUCACUCUGGUCACGGGUCUGGCAGUCGGCUCACCAAUUCGUCCUGCUUCCCUGGGACUCGCCGGCUUUUAGCACUGCAAUUCACUCAGCAAACUGGGACUGUUGGUCACCCUACCUGGCAGCCAGUGAUAAGGGCUGGUGUCAUUGGCAUGACAGACCUGCCUUGGCUGAGCGUUCACCCGUCUUCGGAGUUCAGCCACCUUAGCAAGUCCUGGGUUUGUUCUUCAGAUUUUGCUGCUCGCCCAUUGCCUGGAU